Molecule: ribosomal RNA, 301 nt
Filed under: uncultured bacterium
Lineage: Bacteria
Description: partial 16S ribosomal RNA
Rfam family: Bacterial small subunit ribosomal RNA
Source: RNAcentral
CAGCCGCCGCGGGAAUACGUAGGGUGCGAGCGUUAAUCGGAGUUACUGGGCGUAAAGCGUGCGCAGGCGGUUCGUUAAGACAGAUGUGAAAUCCCCGGGCUUAACCUGGGAACUGCAUUUGUGACUGGCGAGCUAGAGUAUGGCAGAGGGGGGUAGAAUUCCACGUGUAGCAGUGAAAUGCGUAGAGAUGUGGAGGAAUACCGAUGGCGAAGGCAGCCCCCUGGGCCAAUACUGACGCUCAUGCACGAAAGCGUGGGGAGCAAACAGGAUUAGAUACCCCUGUAGUCCCUGUCUCUUAUAC